This 490-nucleotide ribosomal RNA is filed under the name uncultured bacterium. RNAcentral describes it as "partial 16S ribosomal RNA". It matches the Rfam family "Bacterial small subunit ribosomal RNA", at positions 29 to 507 of the family's 1533-position model. The record is from RNAcentral.
AGUGAACGCUGGCGGCAGGCCUAACACAUGCAAGUCGAACGGCAGCACAAGAGAGCUUGCUCUCUGGGUGGCGAGUGGCGGACGGGUGAGGAAUGCAUCGGAAUCUGCCCAUUUGUGGGGGAUAACCUCGGGGAACCGGGACUAAUACCGCAUACGACCUACGGGUGAAAGCAGGGGAUCUUCGGACCUUGCGCAGAUGGAUGAGCCGAUGCCGGAUUAGCUAGUUGGAGGGGUAAAGGCCCACCAAGGCGACGAUCCGUAGCUGGUCUGAGAGGAUGAUCAGCCACACUGGGACUGAGACACGGCCCAGACUCCUACGGGAGGCAGCAGUGGGGAAUAUUGGACAAUGGGCGCAAGCCUGAUCCAGCCAUGCCGCGUGUGUGAAGAAGGCCUUCGGGUUGUAAAGCACUUUUGUUGGGAAAGAAAAGCAGCCGGUUAAUACCCGGUUGUCAUGACGGUACCCAAAGAAUAAGCACCGGCUAACUUCGUG